This 253-nucleotide ribosomal RNA is filed under the name uncultured bacterium. RNAcentral's name for it is "partial 16S ribosomal RNA". It matches the Rfam family "Bacterial small subunit ribosomal RNA", at positions 524 to 776 of the family's 1533-position model. The record is from RNAcentral.
UACGUAGGGUGCGAGCGUUAAUCGGAAUUACUGGGCGUAAAGCGUGCGCAGGCGGUCUGUUAAGACCGAUGUGAAAUCCCCGGGCUCAACCCGGGAACUGCGUCCGAUACUGGCAGGCUUGAAUCCGGGAGAGGGAUGCGGAAUUCCAGGUGUAGCGGUGAAAUGCGUAGAUAUCUGGAGGAACACCGGUGGCGAAGGCGGCAUCCUGGACCGGCAUUGACGCUGAGGCGCGAAAGCCAGGGGAGCAAACGGG